Molecule: ribosomal RNA, 413 nt
Filed under: uncultured bacterium
Lineage: Bacteria
Description: bacterial SSU rRNA
Rfam family: Bacterial small subunit ribosomal RNA
Source: RNAcentral
CAGCCAUGCCGCGUGUAUGAAGAAGGCCUUCGGGUUGUAAAGUACUUUCAGCAGUGAGGAAGGUGGGUAUGUUAAUAGCAUAUUCAUUUGACGUUAGCUGCAGAAGAAGCACCGGCUAACUCCGUGCCAGCAGCCGCGGUAAUACGGAGGGUGCGAGCGUUAAUCGGAAUUACUGGGCGUAAAGCGCAUGCAGGUGGUUUGUUAAGUCAGAUGUGAAAGCCCGGGGCUCAACCUCGGAAUUGCAUUUGAAAACUGGCAAACUAGAGUACUGUAGAGGGGGUAGGAAUUUCAGGUGUAGCGGUGAAAUGCGUAGAGAUCUGAAGGAAUACCGGUGGCGAAGGCGGCCCCCUGGACAGAUACUGACACUCAGAUGCGAAAGCGUGGGGAGCAAACAGGAUUAGAUACCCUGGUAG